Molecule: ribosomal RNA, 497 nt
Filed under: uncultured bacterium
Lineage: Bacteria
Description: partial 16S ribosomal RNA
Rfam family: Bacterial small subunit ribosomal RNA
Source: RNAcentral
GAUGAACGCUGGCGGCGUGCCUAAUACAUGCAAGUCGAGCGAACAGACGAGGAGCUUGCUCCUUUGACGUUAGCGGCGGACGGGUAAGUAACACGUAGGUAACCUACCUAUAAGACUGGGAUAACUUCGGGAAACCGGAGCUAAUACCGGAUAAUAUUUCGAACCGCAUGGUUCGAUAGUGAAAGAUGGCUUUGCUAUCACUUAUAGAUGGACCUGCGCCGUAUUAGCUAGUUGGUAAGGUAACGGCUUACCAAGGCAACGAUACGUAGCCGACCUGAGAGGGUGAUCGGCCACACUGGAACUGAGACACGGUCCAGACUCCUACGGGAGGCAGCAGUAGGGAAUCUUCCGCAAUGGGCGAAAGCCUGACGGAGCAACGCCGCGUGAGUGAUGAAGGUCUUCGGAUCGUAAAACUCUGUUAUUAGGGAAGAACAAACGUGUAAGUAACUGUGCACGUCUUGACGGUACCUAAUCAGAAAGCCACGGCUAACUACGUG